UGCAGAAUCCCGUGAACCAUCGAGUUUUUGAACGCAAGUUGCGCCCGAAACCAUUAGGUUGAGGGCACGCCUGCCUGGGCGUCUCAC
Molecule: ribosomal RNA, 87 nt
Filed under: Styrax japonicus
Lineage: Eukaryota; Viridiplantae; Streptophyta; Magnoliopsida; Ericales; Styracaceae
Description: partial 5.8S ribosomal RNA
Rfam family: 5.8S ribosomal RNA
About the family: 5.8S ribosomal RNA (5.8S rRNA) is a component of the large subunit of the eukaryotic ribosome. It is transcribed by RNA polymerase I as part of the 45S precursor that also contains 18S and 28S rRNA.
Source: RNAcentral